UAGGAAUCUGCCUAUUAGUGGGGGACAACAUUCCGAAAGGAAUGCUAAUACCGCAUACGUCCUACGGGAGAAAGCAGGGGAUCUUCGGACCUUGCGCUAAUAGAUGAGCCUAAGUCGGAUUAGCUAGUUGGUGGGGUAAAGGCCUACCAAGGCGACGAUCUGUAGCGGGUCUGAGAGGAUGAUCCGCCACACUGGGACUGAGACACGGCCCAGACUCCUACGGGAGGCAGCAGUGGGGAAUAUUGGACAAUGGGGGGAACCCUGAUCCAGCCAUGCCGCGUGUGUGAAGAAGGCCUUAUGGUUGUAAAGCACUUUAAGCGAGGAGGAGGCUACUGAGACUAAUACUCUUGGAUAGUGGACGUUACUCGCAGAAUAAGCACCGGCUAACUCUGUGCCAGCAGCCGCGGUAAAACAGAGGGUGCGAGCGUUAAUCGGAUUUACUGGGCGUAAAGCGUGCGUAGGCGGCUUUUUAAGUCGGAUGUGAAAUCCCCGAGCUUAACUUGGGAAUUGCAUUCGAUACUGGGAAGCUAGAGUAUGGGAGAGGAUGGUAGAAUUCCAGGUGUAGCGGUGAAAUGCGUAGAGAUCUGGAGGAAUACCGAUGGCGAAGGCAGCCAUCUGGCCUAAUACUGACGCUGAGGUACGAAAGCAUGGGGAGCAAACAGGAUUAGAUACCCUGGUAGUCCAUGCCGUAAACGAUGUCUACUAGCCGUUGGG
This 714-nucleotide ribosomal RNA is filed under the name uncultured bacterium. Its description in RNAcentral is "bacterial SSU rRNA". It matches the Rfam family "Bacterial small subunit ribosomal RNA", at positions 118 to 827 of the family's 1533-position model. The record is from RNAcentral.